CUUUACUGUAGCUUUGUAUUGGACUUUGAACAGAUCUGUGUAGGAUAGGUGGGAGGCUUUGAAGCGGUGCCGCUAGGUAUCGUGGAGCCAACGUUGAAAUACCACCCUGGUGUGUUUGAGGUUCUAACCUAGGUCCAUUAUCUGGAUCGGGGACAGUGCAUGGUAGGCAGUUUGACUGGGGCGGUCUCCUCCCAAAGCGUAACGGAGGAGUUCGAAGGUACGCUAGUUACGGUCGGACAUCGUGACGAUAGUGCAAUGGCAUAAGCGUGCUUAACUGCGAGACUGACAAGUCGAGCAGAUGCGAAAGCAGGACAUAGUGAUCCGGUGGUUCUGUAUGGAAGGGCCAUCGCUCAACGGAUAAAAGGUA
Molecule: ribosomal RNA, 367 nt
Filed under: uncultured organism
Description: bacterial LSU rRNA
Rfam family: Bacterial large subunit ribosomal RNA
Source: RNAcentral